UACGAACUGUGCGAACGUUAUUCGGAAUCACUGGGCUUAAAGGGUGCGUAGGCGGUUCGUUAAGUCAGGUGUGAAAUCCCUCGGCUCAACCGGGGAAUUGCGCUUGAAACUAGCGGGCUGGAGCGAGGCAGGGGUAUGUGGAACUUCCGGUGGAGCGGUGAAAUGUGUAGAUAUCGGAAGGAACGCCGGUGGCGAAAGCGGCAUACUGGGCCUUGUCUGACGCUGAGGCACGAAAGCCAGGGGAGUGAACGGG
This 253-nucleotide ribosomal RNA is filed under the name uncultured bacterium. Its description in RNAcentral is "partial 16S ribosomal RNA". It matches the Rfam family "Bacterial small subunit ribosomal RNA", at positions 524 to 776 of the family's 1533-position model. The record is from RNAcentral. RNAcentral also lists the same sequence under 1 other name.